CCACUCGUUCAGCCUUUGUGGAGCGCUCAGAGACGGGGUAUCCGGCACUCCCACCUAAAUGCAGGAGGUGCAGCCUUCAACACACUGGAAGAACCUACAUCAGGAAAGCAACUAGACGCCAUUUGUGUCAAGGUAACGUCUGGAGAAACAAAAGGUCAGGAACAGCCAACGUCCCUACUGGCCACAAUCCAGCCCCAAUCUGCAAGACAGCCAGCCGCCCUGGGGGAAUUCCCACCUGGUGGGGCUCCACAUCACCAGCCUUCAGCUGCUCAGGGUACGGCCCCUCGUGAGAACCGAGCUACAGUCAUGUUUCCUAAGUGACCUACAUCAGCCUCCUGCUCAGGGGUUUGUAUAGAGACCACUGCCAGCCUUCCAGGUGGUCCCUGCAAAGAGAGUCCCAGCCCUCAAGGCUCCAAAUGGACAGGGCUCCAUGUUGACCCCUUUGUCGGCCUCCAAUCGGCCGGCUGUAACAUGUUUAAUCCAGUUCAGCACAUUUAUUUCCAACUUGCAUAUAAAACAUACUGAGAAAUUAAAACCAUCGUUAAAAGUGAAGACACAUUGAGACGGGUAUCUCGACCUGCCAAGUAUAAAGCUAAAGAUAAGUUCAUAAAAAGGGAUGAUUUGGCGGACGGUCAUCUGUCAGAUUCUGAUGAUGAUUCAGAACUCAGCGUGGAAGAAGAUCAGAGGGAGAGGCAGGUGCUCUUUGACUUAUCAAGCUGCUCCCUGAGGUCCCAAAGCUUUAAGUGUCAGACUUGUAAAAAGUCAUAUGUAGGGAGGUGGGGACUGGCGCAGCAUUUUAAACUUAAUCCAGGCCGUGGCCAGCUGGACGCUGAGAUGGUGCUGUCUGAGAAAGCCAAUGAGAGCACCGUCCGGGGGUGCACGGCGGAAAGGACGCUCGGCCUGAGCUCCCCGGGGCUGUCCAUGCCAGCGGCUCCGCAUGAGGGAGGGGCCGGCUCCUGCUUGGUGACAGUCAGCAUGCGGUGGCCUGCAGGUGAACUGUCACCCCUGCAACUCAGCCUGCAACCAGCCCUGGCCACCACCAGUUUCCCCACACUGAGCUGAAUAUUGGACAUGCCCAUCUUAGACAUUCCAGCCCAUUCUGAAAUUCCACAUCGAUUCACCUGACAAAGUCUGAAGUUCCAGGGCAAUUUAUCUGGAAAAGCUCACCUGGAAUCACGUGUCAUUUCAACCAACAACUAUGGAAGAGGACGUGGCAUCAAAACCAAGGGUAUCAAUUAUUUAUAAGGGUUGUGUGAUGGUUGGUCCAGGUAUCUCUCCUUCACGCCAUCACUCCUUUCAAGAGCUGCCAGUUUUCUAAUUUAGCACAGGAAUUUAGAUGCCCCUAAAUAAGUAGGCAUCCAAUAUCCGCCCACACCACUUUUUGUGAGAGUCCGUAUGGAGACACUACCACCACCGCUGCUCUCCUACUGCAUACCCCACCAUGCCAAAGAAUGGUGGCUCAUACCUGUAAUCCUGGUGCUUUGGGAGGCCAAAGAGGAGGAACACUUGAGAUCAGAGGUCUGAGACCAGCCUGGGCAACAUAGUGAGACCUCAUUUCUACAAAUAAGUUAAAAUAUAUAUAUAUAUAUAGCAUAGUGGCGCACACCUGUGUUCUCAGCUUUUCAGCAAGCUGAGGCCGGAAGAUGACUUGAGCCCAGGAGUUUGGGGCUGCAGUGAGCUAGGAUUAUGCCACUGCACUCUAGCCUGGGCAGCAGAGAGACGCCAUCUCUAAAAAGAGGAGGGAAAAUACUGCUCCUUCUCAAACCCAAGGUAAAAAGGUUUUUGGUCUCACACUGACCAAAAAACAUUGAUAUUUACUUAAGCAAUAUAAAAAGGGUCACUGUUUUAGAACAGAGGAUUAAAGACAAAGUAAAAUCAGCACUGAGAUAGGAGGACGGAGGACAUUAACUGAGUUCCGAUCCCAAUGAAAAGAAGAAAAAGCUCCAUCUACGUGAAAUAUCUACUUAUCCUAGAAAAAGCCUUUUGACAGCAACAUAAAAUUCAUACCUCUUAGUUUUUAAAUUCUUAUGGAUGCUGUAGCAAAUAACCACAAUUUGGGUGACUGAAAGCAA
Molecule: non-coding RNA, 2072 nt
Organism: Macaca mulatta (Rhesus monkey)
Lineage: Eukaryota; Metazoa; Chordata; Mammalia; Primates; Cercopithecidae
Source: RefSeq, a predicted model, not a curated record